Long non-coding RNA from Cucurbita moschata (crookneck pumpkin), 1491 nucleotides. RefSeq lists it as uncharacterized. Lineage: Eukaryota; Viridiplantae; Streptophyta; Magnoliopsida; Cucurbitales; Cucurbitaceae. The record is from RefSeq and is a predicted model, not a curated record. The transcript has 2 exons.
AAUUUCUAUAGGUUAUUUUUCGAAGAUUGGAGGGUCAUGGCAGCAAUUUUGCUAUACUUGCAGGAUUAGGGUUUUAGAUCUAGGUGUCUUUGCCGAACGCUAUUUAAACGCCUUGCAGGAUGCCCAAAACUCGUUCUGCAUCGCUCUUCUCACUCCAAAAUCUCCUCUAUGGGUUAUUUAGCUGGUAUUAUGCCCUAAUUUUGUUGCGGCUGAUCCGCGGAUCUUAGUCUUAAUCGUGUAUGCACUCGCAAUGCAUCUUCGUCGGAUGGUAAAUAGCUCGGCCAUGCUUGAUUGUUUGAAUAAUUUGAUAUGUGCAGUCAAUUUUUUUUUUUUAAAUAUAUAUUUUUUAAUUUUGUAAUUUUUUUUUAUUUUUUUUAUAGAUUUCUUGAUAUAUCCGAUUCAUUUGUUUGAGGUCAUCGGGGUGUUGGAUUUGUUAAGUCUAAUAGUGGCAGUGAUGAUGAAUUCAUAUACCAUCAAACUAUGAAAGCUCUGUCUUCUUUUUGGGGCGAGCUUGUUGAUGUCACCAUGAAUUUUUCUGAGCCUUUCUUCUUGACAAGGAUGGUUCAAUUUUUAGUUUUUAGGUUUUACUUGGUUUGUUUUGGUAUUCAAUAUCUGAGCCUAUCUUCUCGUGAGUCAUCGAAUGAACAAUCGCAAAAGGCAAUAAAUUAGAGUCUCUGAUACGCUCUCUCCCGUGUCGUGAUCAGCGCUGUACGUUGCCAACAAGGAUUUGGGGCCGAGAUUCUGGCACCUGCCUUUUAUGUUCGUAAGGCUGUGCAUUUAGGUGCUCCUACAUUUGCAUAUCCAAUAUUGUUCGUUUUGAAAUUAUUGCCAUUUCGAUAUCCCUUUGCUUGCUUUUUCGGAUAUACAUCCUUUUAAUUCUAAGAUUUGAGAAAUAUGUUUGUUCAUUUGAUAAUGUGGCGCAACAACUUGUUCAGUUUCAUUCACGUAUUUUUCUUGAAUUGCCGUUAUGUUUUUGGAUACCGUUGGAACUUGGAAGGUAUGACCUGUAAUUUGUAGUAAAUGGUCGAUCUGUUGGUGACGAAUGAUGAGAUCCAGCCGGAGGAAAUAGGAAGAAAUCAGGUAUUCUAUGGAGGCACAUGCUUGGCCUUUGAUUUAAUCUUGCUUUUUUCGGCCGCGGGCAGUGUCAAAAUUUGUACCCAACCUGAAAUAUUUCUUCAAUCUGUGAAACACAUGAAUUCCAAGACCCGCACUCUGAUUAACAUAGAAGCUGCUUAGAAUGUGAAACAGGACCCAGGCCGAGUAUUGACGAGGGCUACCAAUUCUAAAUCACAGGAUGCUCCCUUGCCAACGUUUAAUUUCAUUCGGAUGUUAGUCUACAAGCCACAAGACCAAGUUAUGUUAUGUACAUAUGCAAAUUGGACCAACCUUCAUUCCAUACACGUUUUUGUCAACCUUGGACCAUUUACAAAUAAAGUGAAUUUGUACACACCCUGGACUUGUGAAUAAUGAAAUAAACCAUUUGAAUGUCAA